GAGUCCGUAGCCAAGAGGCCAGGCACCGGAUUGCAACUCCGGCAACGUGGGUUCGACUCCCACCGGGCUCU
Molecule: transfer RNA, 71 nt
Filed under: Thermoplasmata archaeon
Lineage: Archaea; Methanobacteriati; Thermoplasmatota; Thermoplasmata
Also listed under: 1 other name
Description: tRNA-Cys
Rfam family: tRNA
About the family: Transfer RNA (tRNA) molecules are approximately 80 nucleotides in length. Their secondary structure includes four short double-helical elements and three loops (D, anti-codon, and T loops). Further hydrogen bonds mediate the characteristic L-shaped molecular structure. tRNAs have two regions of fundamental functional importance: the anti-codon, which is responsible for specific mRNA codon recognition, and the 3' end, to which the tRNAs corresponding amino acid is attached (by aminoacyl-tRNA synthetases). tRNAs cope with the degeneracy of the genetic code in two manners: having more than one tRNA (with a specific anti-codon) for a particular amino acid; and 'wobble' base-pairing, i.e. permitting non-standard base-pairing at the 3rd anti-codon position.
Source: RNAcentral